Zonotrichia albicollis (white-throated sparrow) is the source of this 8494-nucleotide non-coding RNA. Lineage: Eukaryota; Metazoa; Chordata; Aves; Passeriformes; Passerellidae. The record is from RefSeq and is a predicted model, not a curated record.
UAAUAACCAUUAAUGGCAUCUCAGCCAAUUAUUUUCCCUGAAGAUCUCACCAUACCAUUUGGCAUCUCACCAAAUUUUUAAAAUUACCAAAUUCAGUAACUGAAUUUGGUAAUUUUAAAAAUGCUGGCUAUAUUAUUUUUGUUUUAAAGUCUCUGCAGCAAUUUGUACAUUAAUUCUCCUUUCACAAGCAGGAGAGAUUUUGAGAACUGGCUUUUCCUUGAUGUUUGUCAAAGGGAACUAAUUUUUUAUUCAAUAAUACAUUUUUUCUUUCAAAUCACCCAGAAAUUUUAAUAUACUUGCUCUGUUACAGAAUAAGAAAAUGACUGUUUAUCCCAAUGGAUAUUUUUUUCAGGGAAAAAAAAAACCCUCUUUGCUUAUUUGAGGAUUUAAACAUGAAUUCUAGUUUCUUCUCAGCUCUCUGUCUUGUGAUGCUCCUUGUCAGAUUAAUGUGUUUUAAAGCUGUUGGUUGGUACCUGAGCUGCCAAAAAAGAAGAUUAAAACCACACCUUUCAUUUUGGGGGACUCAUUUUGCAUUGCAAAAUACAGAGGAAGAGAAAGCAAACCUUUCCUGCUUACUGCUGGCAUGCAUCUGAGGCUGGCUAUGUGUGCCAUUAUGUUUGGGGUUAGGAAGAAAUUUCAGUUUCUGUCAGCCCUGGAUAUUCACACUAGAACAGAUUCAAGAUCCUGAAAUGGUUUUUGUUUUGUGAGGAACAGAAUGUACAGAAAUGAGGGGUCAUGGGUUUGAUUUUUAUCUCAGGCACAAACGGGGCGUGUGACUCAGGACAGAAAUAAUUUCUCUCUGCUUCCUUCAGGAGACUGGGACUGUUCCAUUUGCCUUCCAAUGCAGUGGAUACACUUACCUUGUACAGUUAAUAACUAGAUUAUAUAUUUAUAUUAACUUUUUAAUUUUCAUGAAGUUUUCAGCUAGGAAAAGAGAGAGAGACAAUGUAUUAAUGUAAUUAAUACUAACAAAGUACUUUUUUCCAGAUAUAAUUUCAGAAGAAAUUGCUGAGCAAAUCCUCAGUGUAUUUUUACACAAAUAUAAAUAAUUUCUGAAAGAAAUACAGAGGAUAACCCAUGAGUUCAAGCAACAGGGAGGCAUUCUGCAGCAGCUCCCUUUGGUCCCAGGUUCUGAUGAGACCAUCAAGGCUGGCCAAGGCCCAUAAACACUGCAGAGGUUUGGAGUGAUCUUGUUCACCAGUGCCACUAAUCCAGUUUUAAAUCAAUUUUUCAGAACCUGGCUCCUUUUCUCCUCUCAGUCUGAGUAAUAAAGUGCAUUCAGGGGAGAUGAUGCACAUGAGAAAGUGCUGCUCAUUUCACAGGGCUUGAAGAAUAAUCCAGGACUAUAUAUUUCUCUAGUGUUUCAGUUAGUGUUUAAGUGAUUCAGCCAUCAUUUUGGCUAUUGCACUUAUUAUAGAAGGUGCUUGAUUUUGAUCUAAUAUGUUCUGAAGUCUUUUAAGACCAUUUUUUUACAGUUUCUUAAAGUAAGAGCCUGUUCCACUCUCAAUGACCAUAAAUAACUCACUUUUCUGCAUAUGGAUAUAUCACCAUAUCUUGCAGACAGGUCAGUUUUUUACAUGGAGCAAAAAAAACCUGAUGUGGGAAAAAAACCUGGAUAAAACAGUGAAAUCAAACAACAGCAGAUCCCUAUGCACAUAUGAUGGAUAGGCAUACUUUAAUGAAAAAUUAAGCAUUUAAAAUCCAGAUCUUGCCUCUGUGCUUCUUUUGUUGAAAUUACAAAACAUGCCAAUUUUUCCAUUCAUGCCAAAUACCAACUAGGAAGACAAUAAAAAAAACCAACCAAAACAAGAGAGACCCUUAUUGUCACUGGCAGAAGGGUUUCUUUCACUGGGGUAUAAUGAAAUGACCUGGCUUUUUUUGGGUAAGGUUUUGGCUGCUUGAAGUCAGCACAUUUUCAGUGUGUGUUUUUGUAGGCGCUGUUUAGGAAAGGACAGGCUGACCACAGAUUUCCAGAGAUUCUAUGUUGGAUUUUGCUGACAGGCAAUAUUUUGGUUCUUAUAAAUAAUUGGAUCUUAUAAAGAAUCAUUUGCUCAAUUUUGAUAUGUCCCACAACUUUCUCAAAUUGUUGUUUAGUGCUAAAAUAAGAUUGUAAUUGAAUUAGUUGCAGGUUUUUGAAGAAAUAUUUUUUGUUACAUUGAGCGUGAUGAACAGUGAUUUUGUUUGUAUGUGCAACAGGUCACUUCUGUGAACAGAUUUCUUCCAGACUGAAAAAUGCCAACCAAAACUGUGAAUGCAUUUGGACCAGGUCACAUUGAAAAAAUAUAAAAGUAUGUUCAAUUAUGCAAUAUACAAUUUCCCUUUCUCCUUCUGUCCCAGGUGGGUGUUGUGUGACAGGAUGGAGUGUGCCUGGUUACCAUAGGAAUGCAACAUGCAAGGAAGAUUCUAAAUAGAAAGCAGUUAAUCUAACUAAGCAUCUUUUGGUGCCACUGCCUCAUUCUUUAAAUCCUUAACACCUAUAACAUUUAAAAGGCAGAUAUUUGGAAAUAAGCUUUACCCAGCAAAGUUACAGAACCCUGAGAAAACACCUGGAGGAAAGGCAAGUGUGUAAAUGUGCAGCUCAGGGGGGAUCAGUGUUUUUAUCUCUUACAAGAGACACACAAUUCCUGUCAGCUGCAGAGCUGAUGGGAUCUGAACAAGGCUUUUCAUGCCCGUUGCCUUCCACUCUUCAUCAGUUCUGCUCUGUCAUGGUUAAUGUUCUCCCUUGCAGCAACCUUAAUUGUUUUUUGAGGGUUAGAAGAGUGAUCAUAAUCGCUGCUGUUAUGGAUUUAAUUCUGAUCUGCAAAGAGACUGUGCUGUGAGCAAACGUUUUCAUUUUGAGCACUUAAAUCAAUGGUUUUCAAUUACAAAUAGAGAACACAGGAGCUGGAAAUGUUCCUUACCAGAGGGUAGAUCCUGCCCCUAUUUGUCACUCACAUUGCUUAUUUUUCAGGCAUUCACAGUUGAAAUUCUGAGCUCUGGAAAUAAAGGAUGUGGUAUCUUGUUGUGGUGUUGUGAGGGUCCUCAGGAUGAGGGGAAGAAAUCCUGGCAAAGGGAUUUUUCAGGAACUAUCGUGGUGACAGUAUCUACAAAAAAAACAUUCCACUUGUGGAUGAUCUCUAACUAAUUGCAGUGUGGAAUUGUUUUGUGCCUACAUCCUGGCAAUGCCAUGGGGGAACCUCCAGGGAAGCAGCUGCUGAUUAUGGCAAUGUAUCAGGGGAAAUCCCAUCCCUUGAAAGAACGCAUAGCCAGGAGCAUCACUUCAUUAAAACAACUCCACUUAAACUGAGCUUCUCGUUGCGAAAUUCAGAGUACUGAGACAAUACCAGCAGUAGAAAAAAGAAUGAAAACUCCCAGCUGAAAUAAUGCCCAGAAAUUGCAUUCACUCAGUGCCAAAGACCUGUGGAUGGCUGCAGUCUGACAAAGCUCUUCACUGAGCUAGUUCAGCUAUGGAGUUGGAUUUCAAAACAAGAAGAAAGAGAAAAGAAAGAGAACUGGAAGGAGUUCAUGCAGUCGUGACUGCCAGCAGCAGCAAUCCCAGUGUGCCCUGACCUGGAGGAAGGCUGCUCUCUGCAAGGGCUGAGUACUGUGUUCAGAAGUAACACCCAAGGAGCCCAAAGGAUGAAUCCCACAGCUGUGCCCAGAGCCUUCCUCGGACUUAAGUGCACUUCUGGAUCAUUUGGUACCCAAGGGAAACCCUCCCUUAAAUGAGCAGAGCACCUCCAUUCCAUUUGUGCUGGACUUCCCUGUGAGCAGAGUCCUGGGGAACUGACCUUCCUGCAGUAACUCUCAUAAAUUCUCUGGUAAACCAGACCAAGUGGUUCAUGCACAGAUAGAGAAACUAAGGUGAUAAGUAAGAAAGGGAAGAGCAUGACACAUUCUGAUUUAUGGACAAAUUCUAAUGACAUACCCUGCUGAAAUCUAUAAUCUUUCAAAAGUGAUGAAAUGAGCAGAGCAGUCCAAAGCGACAAAAGGUUCAGAGUGGAUCCUGGCACAGGAUCCACUACACUCACGUGCAGCCACACAAGCUGCAGAGGAAUUUGGCACAAAUAACCCCCUGCAGCACAUGGAACACAGCUCUGCUUGUCUGGUGUAGAAGGAUUUAUAAGUGCAUAUGAUGGGCUGCUGCUGUUCCAGGCAUCUCUCAGAUGGUCAGUGGGAUGAUGAGACAAACACCUGUUUGUUUGCAGUCUCUAUAAUCUGUACCACGCUUGCAGAUGGUGCCCUGCACAGUUCUGUGAGGAGAUGUGAAUUACCUGGCUGACUGGAUGGUCCGUGCUUGUGGUUUACAGGUUGGAACAAUUGAGUGCCUGUAACCAACUCUAAAAUGCCACCAAUGGAACAAUAUCAUGACUGGAGCUGCCCAGUGUCCUUCAGAUUAACAAGUGGCUCUGUAAGUACUGUCCUGGUGGGAAUUCUAAAAGGCAAAGCCAGCUCCUGUGGAUGGUGGGAGCUUGGUCAGCAAAUGACAUGGUGGUAAAGAAAAAGCUUUUGUGCUUAGGAAUUGUUCUAUGGCUGUGUUCAGUUUGAACUUCUCUCAUGUUUUUUGUGAUUUAUAUAUAUAUAUUUCUAAACAAAGAUAAACUGUCAGCCCUCCUAAAAGGGCUCAUACAUGCCCCUUUGGAACAAAGCAUUAAAUCCCCAAUCCAUCUGUGCUGCAGGAGACUCAGAUUUGCCAAGCACUGCUUCAAAACUCAGGCUGGUGAGACUGGUCAGUGAUGCACUUUAGAGAUUUAAAAUAUCUUGCUUCUACCUUGCAGCCUGUGGUUUUAAUCUUCUGUGGAGCUGUGCUGAACAGAGCAGCUGGCCUGUAAUUGGGGGAGAUUGCUGCAGCCAUUUAUCUCUGUGGGUGUUACUCCUGUUCUCAGCAUUAUUGCAGUUAAAAUGGUUAUCAUUUUCAUCCAUAGUGUCUUCCUAAGACAAAAAUAAGCAUGUGCCACUUACCUUUUAAGUGUUAUUGAAUCAUUUUUGAAUCAUUUCAGUAUAGAAUGAUUUACUUGUUUUUUUUCCUUGUUUUUUUUUUUCCUGCUGAUCCGUGACCAUAGCCCAGGAGCAGUUGUGCAUUGGUAUCACUCUCACGCUAUUUAGCAGAAAGAAGAAAGGCCUAAAUAAGCUUAAAAGUUUCUGAUGACCAUGACUGGAGUGUCAAAAUCCUUUAACAAUCAAAAAAAAAUUAAAAUUAUUUUAUAACCGUGCAUCUAAAUUCUACAGGUUAUUCAGCUCUUGUUAAACUGCCUGCUUUUCAUGCCAUAUUACUGUUUUCUUCUACCUCUGAAUGGCCCUGGGCAGGGGCCCUUUUGUUGAGUCAGUCAUUUCCUAACUCACGAAAUUGGGAAGCCAUAGGGGAUGGUCAGAAUUCAGGUGAGUUUUGGCAGAGGGCUUGUACAAACAGAUUAGGGUAUGAAAAAUCUGAUUUCAAUCAUUAUCUGUAGAAAAUAUUUCUAGUGGGACCUUAUAUGGUCCAAUUAUCAGUCUGGGUGUGAUCUGCAUCUGCCAAGGUUAAUAAGGGUGUUUCUUUUGACUUUGGUGAACUUUAGCAUCCUCAUCCCUUAAGUGGGGCCAUUGCUGUCUUGUUUGUCUUCUCUUUCUAACAAACUGGCAAUGCCUAAUGUACAUUUAGGAAAAACAAAACACUUGUGGCUGUGGCAGCACACAAGUAAUGCUAUUAAUGCAGGAAGAAAAACCUUCUGAAGGUCAAGUUACCACACAUCCAAACUCCGGAAAGCAUUUGUCAUGCCCUGGGAAUUGAGCUGAAAUCUGACCCAUCUUGGAGAACAAAUCACCACAGAAAGAACACAUUAGGAUAUCUCUCCCUGUGGAGCUGAUUUCCUGGAAGCAGCAUUAGGUAUGGUGUGGAUGAUGGUGUUCUGGGAGGAGGUUUGUGACUGAAAAGCAGCAGGGAAGAGCAGGAAAUGCAGGAGAGCUCACAGAGGGAGGGAGGGCAGCUCAGGGGAAAGCUGGACCCCUCUUCAGGUGUGUCCUCAUAAAUGGCAGCACGUGGACCUCAUUCUCAAAGAUUUAAUGCCUCUACUUUACAUUGUAAUGUACAAAUAAUAUCAGCUCCAUUAAGACUUUAAAAUAGGAAGGAAGAGGAUGAGUAAUCCUGAUGUUGCUCCCAUAUUAGAGCUCCUUGUACUGCAAACUCCACGUAAGUAAAAAAUGAGAACAUUUGACUGUUUCAUAAAGCAAAGCAUGUUUGAUAGUGCUAUAUCAUAAAACCCUUAUCUUUUGGACAGCUGAGUGUGGUAGUUGUAAAAGUGUCUGAUUUAUGCUAGGAAUUCUCUGUGUUCAUAAGUUGUAAUUGCUUUUAUUACUUGUAACUCAGAGCAGGUGUGCAUAGAAAGAAAUCAGUAAUUUCUCCUCUGGCCACAUGAUUUCAUGUAACCCAGCCAAGCCCCUCUGCACACAGAAAGAAAGCAAAGCCCCAGGAUGAAAGCUCUGCCUGGGAUUACCUGGAAUUAAAUGGUGAACACAAAAAGGGGAUUAAUAAGAAAAUAGCUGAGGGCUAGCACAGGUCUUGUCCCCUGAAUAGAGUCUAAGACACAGCCUUAUACCCUGGUGGGUCUGUUCUGUGCCUCUUUAGCCAUUUCUGUUCUAAUGGUUUGUGCUAAUGUGGGCUGGAACAAAUGUAAUGGAUGUAGGGAGUAGGAAAAAAAAAGCCCCUUCUGUUCUAAUGUUCAGUUUAAAGUGAUUUUCAGACAAAAAGAAAGCUGAAUAUAUAGUGCACAAUACAGUUCUAGCUAAGGUAAGGAGCUGGCUUGGAAGAGAAGGUGGCUGAGACUGAAAGCAAACACAGCGCAAGAGAAAUGUGAAGGGCUGUUUUAUAAACUGUGUACUUCUUCUGCUCUGUCACUUUAUUCAUAAUUCUCUGUCUUUAAGGUAAAUAUACAUACAGCAUGGAUAUUUUUUUUCCAUUUUUCUUUUGCCAUUUGUAUACUUUAUGCAAACCAUUUCUUUUCAAUAGUGUUUUGCCUUUCUUUCCAUGGCAACAAAGAGCCAAGGCUCCUUUGCUAAAGCAAUGCAGUCCUUCACACAACAUCCUCUCUGUGCUGAGGUGGGGACAAAUCCACACCUGGGGUUAGCACUGCUGACAUCCCUGACCAAUAUUGAUGAUAAUGAGGCAGUUCCUAGCAAGGCAUUAUUAAUAAGAUGGUGUCACCCACAGCAAGUGAUGCUCUAAGUUUUAUUACACUAAGUCAACCUUAAAAUUUUCAAAUCAUUUACAGCUUUAUCACACUUUUUCAGGAGUUGUUAUUGCUCAGCCAUUCUUCCUUUUCAUCCUCUCAGCUUCUCAGAUGAGAAAAGAUCUUUGAUGCUUCCAUUUUCUCACUCUGUGAAUGGAUCAAAGAGCCCAAAAUGCACAAGGCUUUGAAACAGGAGGAGCCCUGGAAGAGGGAGAUUACAGUCAGAUAGAACACACUGGUCUGGUUCUCUAGUUGAUAUUUGUGAGCAUGAAAGCAUUAGGGACAAGUAACAAGGGCAUUUUUAGAUAAAAUAUUAAAAGUAAUAAUAAAAAAGUUAAUUUUGUCCUAAAUACCACUGUAAUAUUAUGUCUUGCAGUGAAUUUCUAACUAUUGUGAAGUGCUAAUCAGUUUUCUUUCCUGCCAAAGGAUCCAUAGUCUAAGGAGACUCUUGAGUGGCAGCCUAGAUAUGAGAAAUGUUAUUUGAAUUAGGCAUUCUUAUCCAUGUUUAUAGUACUUUCCAGAGGCUCUCUCUCACUUUUAGGCCUUCUUCACAAAAGCACAUGCAAUAAAAAUGUUACUGCUGCCAGCUUGUAUGCCUGAAAGGUCAAUUCUUCUUUUUGUUCUAACUUUAUCAGUUUCUUUAAUAAAAGAUAUUAACUCUCUUCACAAACCUGUCUCACAGAGAGAAGAAAAAUAUCCCCAGCUCCAAAGAAAAUAUCACUUCUAUUUAAUGAUUAAAACAAAUCAGUGUGAGAGAAGACAUAAGGCAGCUACUAGAAAAUUCUGGUUCGGCAUUUAAAUUCCACCCCCUCUGGCUGGGAAUAUGAGAGAAGUUAUCCCUGUGUGACAGGGAGGAGCCAAGCCUGUGCAGGCUUCAUCAGCACAGUGUGCUCUGCAUGGUCACUGCUUGAUUAUUCAAAGGUGUUUGUGGAAAAUAAGUCUAAAGUUCAGCUUUGGGGGCUGAUCAUUCUUUCUGCACCAUUUAAGCACAUCAUCUCAUUUCUAAAUGGUGCUGAUUACAACAAUUCACAGGCAAGCACAGUCAUUUUCUGAAUGGAAGGGUGAGAGAAGUGUGACCCUGUCACAAAGCAAAGCCCACGCUGCAGUGAGCGCUGCUAACACGAGCUGCAGGCUUGGGGGGAGCCUGGUUCCAUGUGUGAUUAAAUGCGUCUCAUUGGUAUAAUGCCUUCACAUUUAAACAGCUUAAUUUUUAAAUCACCAGAUAAUUGUGUAAUUGUGGUGUUUCUGUUGCCUGUGAUGAAUCAGGGUCUCCUGUCUAAUGGUUCUGUGGAAAUAAAAUUGCCUGAAAGCAG